Suricata suricatta (meerkat) is the source of this 3498-nucleotide long non-coding RNA. RefSeq lists it as uncharacterized. The record is from RefSeq and is a predicted model, not a curated record. The transcript has 3 exons. Lineage: Eukaryota; Metazoa; Chordata; Mammalia; Carnivora; Herpestidae.
ACGGAAAGAAUCAAACACAGUGAUUCCCUUUAUAUAAACUAAGAUACCAGAAGUAGGUUGGCAGGGGGAAGGCAGUAACAGGAAAGAAAGGGAGCUGAUUAUAUGGGCAUAUUCACUUGUGGGAAACCCAUCCAGCUGUUCUUUCGAUCUUCUGUACACAUUCAGCUGAACCACAAAAGUCUACCAUUUUUAUAGGUUCAAAGAGGUCAAACAUUAUUAAUUUCAUAUGAUUCACUCUAAUGUGCUUCAGAAGAAAGUUUUGGGAAAUCAACAGAAUAGCACAAACCCCAAAACCACAAUUUCUGAAUGGAAAGCAGGUCUCCUGAGGGUGGCCCUGGGCAUUCACUCAGGCGGGCACCCUGGCUCCCCAGACAGCCCUGGCAGGAGCUCAGCUUCACUUCCGGCAAACAGGGUCUCUGUCAGCUCACUUCCAUGUGCAUCACCCUUCGUUGCAAGGGGACUACUAAACCUGCGCUUCCCCCUGUCCAGUUCCAUACCUUAUGUUGAAUCCCCUUUUCCCCAACCUGCUAGUGACUCUGCUCUGGGGUGCACCCACCCAUCUGCUGAGGCCACAAUUAAUCUGCUGGUCAGAGCCAGAAGGCCGAGCACAAGGGGGCUCUCGCCCCUCCCUCAGCUAUACACUGCCCACAGAGAAAGGCCACCUCUUUCUCCUCCCAGCCACCCAGACGCAACUGGGCUCUCCCUUGCCGCCUCCUUCACUGGACAUCUGCCUCCUGCCCAUUUUGCUUCUUCAACACAGUACUUCUUAGUGCUGUCACCCAGCCCUGUGUCCCCCAUCCUCUCCUUUUUUUCCCCCCACACCCUCUCUCCUCAGGAGCCUCACCUCUGUCUUCUGCCUUGCCCUGCUCCACUUUUAAAGGACUUUUCAACAUUUACGGCUUCCAUUUCCUCACUGCAUACUUACUGCCUGAACAACCUACAACUUCACUUCUGCCAGCAUUUACCAUUCUACUCUACUCUUCAGGUGACCAGAAACUUCCUGUCACCAUCAGAAUUAAUGCUUAACUCCAGCUGAUUUUCAGAACAUUCCACACUUUGGUCCUAGCCAAUCUUCCAGCCUCAUUUCCUCAGCACCAUUCACAAGUGUCCUGAAGUAAACACUUCUCUUUUCCAUCAUUUCCUCUCCAGUACCACCCAACCCACACAUGCUCAGAGCAGAAGCUCCAGGACCAGCUUGCACAUCUCCUUUUCUCCCACACCCCUUGGCCAUCAUGCCACGAACUGCAUCAAGUCUUCCCUGCAAAGGUACCUGGAAUCUACGUACCUGUCCCUAUCUCAUUAUCUCUCCACAUUAGGACAUUCCUUCGAAUACUCUUUCACCUGCUCUUGCCCCUCUGAUCCUUCACAUAUAAAUGUCAAUCAAGUCAGACCACUCACCUCCUUAAAAAGCUGGCUGUGGCUCCCCACUACUCUCAGAAGGAGCCCACAGCUAUGUCCCUGCUCACCUGUGCAGCCUCGUGUCACUGGCCCCGUGCUCACCAUGUCUAGUAGGUCACUUUCCUCUAUUUCUUCAAAUGCCCUCUGCUACUUCCAGCAGCUGGCUCUGUACAGACUUUGCCUGGAAUGUGCUUUCAGAGUCAUGUGGCUAACUCUUACUCGUCCCUUACGUCUCAGUUCAAGUGUUAUUCUUUACAAAGACCUUUCUUUAUCACAUGCUGUGUAUCUGUGAGUUUGUACGUUUCACAUGUGUCUGAUAGAAGCUCCAGAGGAGCAGAGUCUGUCUGGCAGAGGGCCUGGCAACAGUGGUCUCGAUCCAUAAACACAGAUGAAUAAGACACAAUCUCUGCCCUCACCAAUGUCACUGACUGGUACAGGGACAGAUACAUAACUAACUUUAUGUAGGGAGAGAAAUUCCAAAACAAGUCAUGUGAGAGAUGAGCAUGACAUUUGCAGGUUAAGGGAACGAUAACAAAAAGCUUUCUAGACAGAAAUAUGAACCAGGUCAAGGAGAAAGAUCUCAAAGAAGCAAACAGAUGAAAGCUCACCCAAGGCCAUGAUAGCCAGACCCAGAGUCAGUCACUGAAGGAUUUCGAGGGUUGGGAAAACUUUCAGAGUAACACAAAAACAACCUCGGUCACCAUGUGGAGGGUAGACUGUGCACAUUUUUAUCUCCAUGCUCCAUUCUCAGUAUGUCCACUUCUCUGGUUUUACAAGCCCCACCACCUCCAGGUACCAAGCCACAGCGUUCUCUAACCAAGCUGCAUGGGUGCAGAGCCCAGGCCGCCUGAGGGCUGCUUUUUUUUUUUUUGCCUUUGAUGUGUCUUUGCUCCCUCAGUAGACUGAAAUUCCAAGGGCAGAGCCUUGUGUCAGAACUCUGUAUUCCCCUCCAGCCUCUAAUACAAAGCUUUAAGUAUGAGUAUGUUUGAUAAAUGCAUUGUAUAAAACAGUUCUGUUUGCAGAGUGCUUAGGAAUAGCCCCGCCUAGAGUCUCACAAACAGCCAAUGCAGGUCCUGUGGCCUCGUGAUGAAUGAAAACCCCACCCAUGAUGACACCAGCCAAGAAGGGAGUCCCUGUGCACCUUGACCUUCCCAGCCCCAUCAGCGAAGCCAUCUCAGUGCUUGUGUGGUUGGUAAUUAUCUGGUGGGAGGCACUUGACAGAUGAGUCCUGUGCACUGGGGCCAGCAGGGAAGCUGCCCUCCUGCCUGUUCUGAGCCACCAGCGGAGCCUAGCGGGUCUAUCUGCCAAAUGCGGGAUAGAGGAAGAUGGGAGAGGAAGGCCAGCCACAGAGGAAGCCAGCUGGCAGACACUGACUUCAAUCCCACUGCUGCCACACCUUGUUGUCUCCCCAGAAAGGACAGACUGCUGCAGCAAGGUGGCAACUGUGGUUUGUUCUUCAGGUAACACCUCCCUGAUUCUGGGAAAGGAAGAUGACUUCGACUAUCUUACCAUGGAGUCACCAGCCACUCCACAGAGGACUGCUUCAGAGCUCUCCUCUAACCCUGAGCAGCGUGGAGGAAGGAAGUAAAAGUCCUCUGCAAACAGAAAAUACAUAGAGUUCUCCUUGAUUGCUCAUCUGCCUCGGAAACACCAACACCCACCUGCUCAACUCAGAACUACACUCAGCGCCAAACCAGCUGGCAUAGCGCCAGGCAGAAACUCACCACAGUUGCUGUCUCCAUCCCUCAGCUGCACCUUGAUGAAAUUCUCCAUCCAAAAAGGGUCACAAAUACAGCGUUUAGUGAAUGAAUCACAGUGGCCAUGGUCAGAACAGUUCAACUGGCAUGCUGAAAGUAGCAGGAAAGGGAAAAAGGUCAACAGGAGUCAGAGCCAGAACCCCGGCUCUGACUGUGCCCCGGCUCAGCGCCCCUGCUCUGUGGCCGGUGGGAAAAUUCCUUCAAGGCCCACCCCGAGGGCUUUUACAGCUUGGGCACCUUGCCCGUGAACACUGCUCUCCGCUGAUAGUGCGUCAUCUUUCAUGGCCCACAGACCCCACCCCACCCCCUGCCUUCUUUGCAUCAUUUAAUUGCCAAAAUAAAA